This is a non-coding RNA of Cinara cedri, 509 nucleotides long. The record is from the annotation of a GenBank genome assembly. Lineage: Eukaryota; Metazoa; Arthropoda; Insecta; Hemiptera; Aphididae.
AUUUAAUUACUGUCGUGUACGAGAAAAAACCAAUAGUUAUUUGGCUAAUUUCGUGUUAUUUUUUUUAAUACAUUUAUAAUUAUUUAUUUUCGUGCCGCACAUUUGUGGCCCAAUUCCUAACCGCACGCAGAAACGUCUCCUCCAUCCUCUCGAUAGCUCAUUUUAUUAACAACAAUAGUUGAAACAACACUAUGAGAAGCACUAUGACACUAGUGGUUUAUAGUCCAGUGCGUAUACGUAUAAUAAUUAACGUCGUCCAUACUGGAAUAUUAAUAAUGUGUUAAAAAGUACAUAGACCUACGUUGCGAUUAAUUUUCGUAUUAUUUUGUUAAUACAUAACAUUGUAAUUACUUACGAGGAUAUUAUUCAUAACUAUGUCGUCCGGAUCACGGCUUCAAAAAAUGUCCGAUACAACGGAAACGAUAAACGUUUUUCACGAUAAUUGUGUCGAAGUUAUCAAACUCCGUUCGGCGUAUAAAACAACUGCGUACAGAAACGUGAAAUGUUUU